GACGAACGCUGGCGGCGUGCUUAACACAUGCAAGUCGAACGGAAAGGCCCUGCUUGCAGGGUACUCGAGUGGCCAACGGGUGAGUAACACGCGGGUGAUCUGCCCUGCACUUCGGGAUAAGCCUGGGAAACUGGGUCUAAUACCGGACAGGUGCCAUUUUUAGCGUGAUGGUUGGAAAGUUUUUUCGGUGUAGGGUGAGCUCGCGGCCUAUCAGCUUGUUGGUGGGGUAAUGGCCUACCAAGGCGGCGGCGGGUAGCCGGCCUGAGUGGGUGGACGGCGACAUUGGGACUGAGGUACGGCCCAGACUCCUACGGGAGGCAGCAGUGGGGAAUAUUGAACAAUGGGCGCAAGCCUGAUGCAGCGACGCCGCGUGGGGGAUGACGGCCUUCGGGUUGUAAACUCCUUUCGCUAGGGACGAAGCUUUUUGUGACGGUACCUAGAUAAGAAGCACCGGCUAACUACGUG
Molecule: ribosomal RNA, 465 nt
Filed under: uncultured bacterium
Lineage: Bacteria
Description: partial 16S ribosomal RNA
Rfam family: Bacterial small subunit ribosomal RNA
Source: RNAcentral